This 824-nucleotide ribosomal RNA is filed under the name Macrostylis sp. ML08. RNAcentral describes it as "bacterial SSU rRNA". It matches the Rfam family "Eukaryotic small subunit ribosomal RNA", at positions 427 to 1092 of the family's 1831-position model. Lineage: Eukaryota; Metazoa; Arthropoda; Malacostraca; Isopoda; Macrostylidae. The record is from RNAcentral.
AGCAGGCACGCAAAUUACCCACUCCCAGCCCGGGGAGGUAGUGACGAAAAAUAACGAUGCGAGACUCUUCCGAGGCCUCGCAAUCGGAAUGAGUCCAUCCUAAAUCUUUGGACGAGGAUCCAUUGGAGGGCAAGUCUGGUGCCAGCAGCCGCGGUAAUUCCAGCUCCAAUAGCGUAUAUUAAAGUUGCUGCGGUUAAAAAGCUCGUAGUUGGACUUUCUAGAUCCAUUUCGUGGGUGGGUCGCUCGUUGUACUGGCGAUUCGCGCCAGUCACUGGUCGACGUCGUGCGGAGUGUCGUACUUCUACUAAGUUGGCUUUACGGCUUUCGAUAGGGGAGACUUCUCUCUCUCGGCAAACUUUCCAGCGGACGGCGUUUCUCGGUCUUCGGGUAUAGCUCGCCCGCGUUUGGUACAAUUAAAAUUUUGUCGGCUCGCUCGGAGUGCUCUUUACCGAGUGUUCCAGGGUGGCCGACACGUUCACUUUGAAAAAAUUAGAGUGCUUAAAGCGGGCUGUAAAAACGGCCGGAAUGUCUGUGCAUGGAAUGAAGUAACAGGACCUCGAUUCUGUUCUUUUUGUCGGUUUUAAUGAACCGAGGUAAUGAUUAAAAGGGACAGACGGUGGCAUUAGUAUUGCGACGCUAGAGGUGAAAUUCUUGGACCGUCGCAAGACUAACUACUGCGAAAGCAUUUGCCGAGAAUGUUUUCAUUAAUCAAGAACGAAAGUUAGAGGAUCGAAGGCGAUCAGAUACCGCCCUAGUUCUAACCCUAAACUAUGCUAACUAGCGAUCCGCCGAAGUCAUUCCCACGACUCGGCGGGAAGCCCCAG